RNAcentral lists this ribosomal RNA (253 nucleotides) under uncultured bacterium. Its description in RNAcentral is "partial 16S ribosomal RNA". It matches the Rfam family "Bacterial small subunit ribosomal RNA", at positions 524 to 776 of the family's 1533-position model. The record is from RNAcentral. RNAcentral also lists the same sequence under 1 other name.
GACAGAGGGUGCUAGCGUUGUUCGGAAUGACUGGGCGUAAAGGGCGCGUAGGCGGUUAUAUUAGUCAAGCGUGAAAGCCCCGGGCUUAACCCGGGAAUUGCGCCUGAAACGGUAUGACUAGAGGACGAGAGAGGAAAGCGGAAUUCCUAGUGUAGAGGUGAAAUUCGUAGAUAUUAGGAGGAACAUCAGAGGCGAAGGCGGCUUUCUGGCUCGUUACUGACGCUGAGGCGCGAAAGCGUGGGGAGCAAACAGG